Molecule: non-coding RNA, 3709 nt
Organism: Sus scrofa (pig)
Lineage: Eukaryota; Metazoa; Chordata; Mammalia; Artiodactyla; Suidae
Source: RefSeq, a predicted model, not a curated record
UUUCUGCUCUUUAAUAUUUUCUUCUUUCUGCUUAUUUCAUCUUUUAUUACUCUUUCUUUUCUAGUUUUUUGAGUUAGGAACUUAGAUUAUUGACCAGAGACCUUUGCUUACUUCUAAGGUAGGUAUUUAGUGCUGGAAAUACCUUUUUGGUACUGCAGCUUUAGUCACAGCUUGCAUAUUUUUUACAUGUGUAUCUUCAUUUUCAUUUGGUUCUAUGAAUAAAUUUUUUUUCUUUGACAUUUUCUCUUUGACUCAUGGACUAUUUGUAUGUUGCUUGAUUUCCAUGUUUAGAGAUUUUCCUGUUGGUCUUCAGUUACUGAUUUCUAGUUUGAUUCUAUUAUAGUCAGAGAACACAUUGUAUACUACUUCAGUUAUUUUAAAAUUUUGUAUAGUUUUAUUGCUCAGGACAUGGUCUGUCUUGGUAACAGAAGGGUUGGACUUGAGUCCUGACAUCAUAUCUUGGAGGUGCAUCCUGACCAGAUGCCAGGUACAUGGUCAGAACUUAGUUGAGGAGACAGAUCCUAGGUGAGGAUGAAUCAGAUGUAAAGCCAGAGUAGACGGUGAAGCACCACAGAGGAUUUUCCUAUCAGCCAGUGAUUUAAAAGAGUAUGUUAAAGCAAGAAAACAGACUUACAUAGUAGAGUUGUGUUGUCAUAAUUCAGAACUAGAUGGUUGCACUAGAGAAAGGCAGAAUAAGAAGAGACAAACUUAGGUCAAAAAGGCAAAAGGGGAAGAAUUAGCAGAGUGUUUGGGGUGGGGGUAAUGAGAAGUCUAAGCAAGUUUCUGAAGAGGGAAUGGAGUCAAAGAUUAUUCAAAGACAGUUAAGUGGAAGUGACACACUCAAAUGAAUGACUAGCAAGUAGCUGGGAACAUAAGGCAGGCUUUCUGAUUAUACAUGCAUUACUUUUUCCACACUGGUUUUCCAAAUAUAUGAAAAAUUAACAAACAAGUUAUGGAGAUUCCUGAAAAAGAAAAAAAUACUGUCACAAAAUUUAGAAGAAAUGUAACCAAAUGUAACAAGGCUUCUGUUUGGUUGCAACAAUUCUAUGCCCUCCUUUGAUAAAUAAAGCACUGCUCAAUGCUGUAAGCAAAUAAACCUGAAAUCUUGGUAACUUGUAACAAUUCUUUCUUUUUUGUCCAUGUAAAGACCAAUCAAGGGUGGUGGCAGUAGAGGCUGGCCUCUGCUUCAUGAAGUUAUUCAGGAAUCCAGAUGGAGUGUGUCUCAUUUUCAAUCCAUGGCUUCCAAGGCAUGGAACUGCUGCUGGUGAAUCAGGGGAAAGAAAGUACAUGAUUUCAUAGAUGGUAUCUAUGAGCCAAGCUUGGAAGUUGCAUUAUUUCAUCCACAUUUUACUGCUUAGACAUUAGUCAGAUCAUAAAUUCAAAACUAAAGGAGACUGGGAAACAAACCUUGGUUUUGUGACUAGAAGAAAAGUGAAAUAAUUUGGUGAACAGCCACUUACUAUGUGCCACAUGUCAUUUAUCCACUAAAACCUCUUUAUAUAUUGUACCUAUAUUACCACUGGUCAUCUCAUCAGCAAUUAUUCCCAUAUUCCUUGAUUUUGUAAGUUGUUUUGGCAAAAGACUUUGUUGACACUCCUAAAGGUUAUGGAUGGGAUUAUUAUUCCACUGCUACAGCUUAGAGUUUUAAAGGAAGCCAUUGGAUGUGUUGGCAACAGUAAGUGAUGUCCAACUCAUACUCAGUAGGGCAAGUUCUCAUUUAGGGAUACAAGAGCUUCCUUAGUCACAUGUAUACUUUCCUUUGGUGAUAACAUGUCCAUGUAGAGCAAUGAGAAAGGAUGCUGAAAGGCUUCUUCAGUGAAAAUGAUUUGAAACUGUUGAAUAAGAGCAUUGUUUCACAAAAUGUUCUUGUAGAACACAGUUCUUGGAUAUACUCCAAAGUGGGGAGUAAAUGUUCUUUACCCAUAAAGAUUUAGAAAAUGGUGAAACUCAAAUAUGUCUCUUGACAUAUGUUCACAUUGCAUAUGAACAUAGUAAGGAUUCUAAAUAAUCCUGCCAUAAAGAAAUAUUUGGUUUUAAUUUAGCUUUCUUAACACUAGUCAUAGAUCACUGUGUUUUAGUAUCAUAUGCUAUUGUGAUACAUUUGUGGGCAAAUCCUAUUUGAUUCACACUGCAGUCAAAUAUCCUAGUUUUGAAUAUCACUUUCUAUGCAGAAAGAUUUUUUUUUGUAUUUAUUAGUAAGAAUGAACUUGCACUUUUCAUAUUAGUAAUAUUGUUGUGUAGCAUUUUAAAAACAGGUAGAAUAAAAUAGAUUUAGCCAUGCUUUCCCUUUUUAUCCUCCUUUCUUCAUUCAUAAGUAUCUUUAAUGCCAGUAGGGUAAACAUUGAUUUGUAGUUUUCCCCUUCUUCUCCCUUAAAAAUAUUUGUAUUAUGUAGACGUUAUUUUCUUCUUAGGCUGCCACCAUUAUUUUAGGAACUUUGGAAGUCUUUUUUUCUACUAUCAAUAAUUUUUUUAUUUUCUGUAGAAAUCUUUUUCACCUGGGGUUUACUUCUCUUUGGGUAAAUAAUCCUGAGUCCUUACCUCUAUCUCUAGUUCUUAAAUUUUCUUUUUCUUUUUCUUUUGUAUAUUCUGAAGCUGAACCAGAGACCAAGUCUGAAAGAGUGCUUGAGGUUGAGAUCAGAAGCAUUUCUAAUGGUGUUCCUCUUGCCUGCAUACGCUCAAGAAGUAGAAAUUUGAUCCGUCCAAAACUGAUGAAAAGUGAAACUGGACCUCUUCUUCCAUUUGCUUAUCUUGAAUCCCUUCCCACCAAGAAAACUGACUUGAUGGACAGGAAAACCGUUUCUCACCUCAGAGCACUCCUGACACCAAAUGUAUGCGUUUUCCAUAAAAACUCCAGUUCUCUGUGGACCCCAAGAAAAGAUGACUUUCAUGUGAGGUGACUGCAACACUUCAGAGAAACCCAGAAAGAAGCUGGAAAUGUGGGUUUGGGGCUCAGGAAGAGACAUGGAUUUGGGAAUCGGCUAUAGAAAUGUGAGGAUAAAACUAUGGGAAUUGGGUGAAUCAUUAAGAGAAUGUGAGAAAGUGAGCUGAAGGGACAGCUGAUGAGAGGACCUUGGGCAAUGUCCACAUGGAAGGGCCCAGUGGAACACUCACAAUUCCUCGGGGAAUUUCUAGUGAUUUAGUCCAUGAAUCACUGACUCAAUUAUACCUGAUAUUAUAGAGAAUUAAAUUUUUUUUUAAUUUCAGAAAAAGAUUAAGAUUAAAAAAAUCAUUAGAGAUGUAUUUAAUUAAUUAAUUUUUGCUUUUUAGAGCCACACCCAUGGCAUAUGAAGUUCCAAGGCUAGAGAUCAACUCUGAGCUGCAGCUGCCAGCCUACACCACAGCCAUAGCAACUCGGGACCGAGCCACAUCUCAAGUCAUGGCAACAUUUGGUCCUUAACCCACUAAGUGAGGUCAGGGUUUGAACUUAUGUCCUUAUGAUACUAGCAGGAUUUGUUUCCACUCUAGGAACUCCCUAGAGAUGUAUUUGUAACAAAUAAACUUUUACAUUUAUAGAAUUAUUAGAAGCACCUUUAUUUACAAAAUCACAUCAUGACCACUGGCAUGGGGGGGUUGCAAUUUGAAAAUUGCCAAGCCAGUGACAAAAAUUCAUUUACUGAAUAUAAUAUUUCAUUGGUUUGUUCAUGACUUUAUUUUUGUCUUUUGUCUUCGUGGCAUAUGGAGGUUCCCAGGCUAGGAGACAAAUCGGAGC